This 253-nucleotide ribosomal RNA is filed under the name uncultured bacterium. RNAcentral describes it as "partial 16S ribosomal RNA". It matches the Rfam family "Bacterial small subunit ribosomal RNA", at positions 524 to 776 of the family's 1533-position model. The record is from RNAcentral.
UACGAAGGGGGCUAGCGUUGCUCGGAAUCACUGGGCGUAAAGCGCACGUAGGCGGAUUGUUAAGUCAGGGGUGAAAUCCUGGAGCUCAACUCCAGAACUGCCUUCGAUACUGGCAAUCUCGAGUCCGGGAGAGGUGAGUGGAACUGCGAGUGUAGAGGCGAAAUUCGUAGAUAUUCGCAAGAACACCAGUGGCGAAGGCGGCUCACUGGCCCGGUACUGACGCUGAGGUGCGAAAGCGUGGGGAGCAAACAGG